Molecule: non-coding RNA, 174 nt
Organism: Glossina fuscipes fuscipes
Lineage: Eukaryota; Metazoa; Arthropoda; Insecta; Diptera; Glossinidae
Source: Rfam
AACGGAAAUUGAUAAUCACUCGGCUCAUGGGACGAUGAAGAGCGCAGCAAACUGUGCAUCAUCGUGUGAACUGCAGGACACAUGAACAUCCUUGAACGCAUACCGCAGUGCGCCCUGCAAAGUAGUUUAAUUAUAUUAUGAAGUGCUGCUUAGACUACGUUUGUUUGACGGUUG